AGAGUUUGAUCCUGGCUCAGAUUGAACGCUGGCGGCAGGCUUAACACAUGCAAGUCGAGCGGGGUGAUGGUGCUUGCACUAUCACUUAGCGGCGGACGGGUGAGUAAUGCUUAGGAAUCUGCCUAUUAGUGGGGGACAACAUUUCGAAAGGAAUGCUAAUACCGCAUACGUCCUACGGGAGAAAGCAGGGGAUCUUCGGACCUUGCGCUAAUAGAUGAGCCUAAGUCGGAUUAGCUAGUUGGUGGGGUAAAGGCCUACCAAGGCGACGAUCUGUAGCGGGUCUGAGAGGAUGAUCCGCCACACUGGGACUGAGACACGGCCCAGACUCCUACGGGAGGCAGCAGUGGGGAAUAUUGGACAAUGGGCGCAAGCCUGAUCCAGCCAUGCCGCGUGUGUGAAGAAGGCCUUAUGGUUGUAAAGCACUUUAAGCGAGGAGGAGGCUACUUUAGAUAAUACCUAGAGAUAGUGGACGUUACUCGCAGAAUAAGCACCGGCUAACUCUGUGCCAGCAGCCGCGGUAAU
Molecule: ribosomal RNA, 522 nt
Filed under: uncultured Acinetobacter sp.
Lineage: Bacteria; Pseudomonadati; Pseudomonadota; Gammaproteobacteria; Moraxellales; Moraxellaceae
Description: bacterial SSU rRNA
Rfam family: Bacterial small subunit ribosomal RNA
Source: RNAcentral